GAGUUUGAUCAUGGCUCAGGACGAACGCUGGCGGUGCGCCUUAUGCAUGCAAGUCGAGCGAAGCUUUUCAGUAGUUUACUACAGAAAAUGACUGAGCGGCGAACGGGUGAGUAACGCGUGAGCAAUCUACCUUAGUUACAGGGAUAGCCCGAGGAAACUCGGAUUAAUACCUGAUAUUCUUUACAUUUCGCAUGAAAUCAAAAGGAAAGGUCAGCCGAACUAAGAUGAGCUCGCGUUCUAUCAGCUAGUUGGUGAGGUAAAAGCUCACCAAGGCAACGACGGAUAGCUGGUCUGAGAGGACGAUCAGCCACACUGGGACUGAGACACGGCCCAGACUCCUACGGGAGGCUGCAGCAGGGAAUAUUGCGCAAUGAGCGAAAGCUUGACGCAGCGACACCGCGUGUGGGAUGACGGAUCUAGGUUUGUAAACCACUUUCAGGAGGGAAGAAAAUGACGGUACCUCCACAAGAAGCCCCGGCCAACUACGUGCCAGCAGCCGCGGUAAUACGUAGGGGGCGAGCGUUGUCCGGAUUUAUUGGGCGUAAAGAGCUCGUAGGCGGUUCAACAAGUCGGUCGUAAAAGUUCAGGGCUCAACCCUGAAAUGUCGAUCGAUACUGUUGUGACUAGGAUACGGUAGAGGUGAGUGGAAUUCCGAGUGUAGCGGUGAAAUGCGUAGAUAUUCGGAGGAACACCAAUUGCGAAGGCAGCUCACUGGGCCGCUAUCGACGCUGAGGAGCGAAAGCUAGGGGAGCAAACAGGAUUAGAUACCCUGGUAGUCCUAGCUGUAAACGAUGGAUACUAGACGUAGGAACUGG
This 815-nucleotide ribosomal RNA is filed under the name uncultured bacterium. Its description in RNAcentral is "bacterial SSU rRNA". It matches the Rfam family "Bacterial small subunit ribosomal RNA", at positions 9 to 832 of the family's 1533-position model. The record is from RNAcentral.